UACGAAGGGUGCAAACGUUGCUCGGAAUUACUGGGCGUAAAGCGCGCGUAGGCGGCUUUGCAAGUCGGGUGUGAAAUCCCCAGGCUUAACCUGGGAAUUGCAUUCGAGACUGCAUUGCUAGAGUAUGGGAGAGGGAAGUGGAAUUUCCGGUGUAGCGGUGAAAUGCGUAGAUAUCGGAAGGAACAUCAGUGGCGAAAGCGACUUCCUGGACCAAUACUGACGCUCAUGUGCGAAAGCGUGGGGAGCAAACAGG
Molecule: ribosomal RNA, 253 nt
Filed under: uncultured bacterium
Lineage: Bacteria
Description: partial 16S ribosomal RNA
Rfam family: Bacterial small subunit ribosomal RNA
Source: RNAcentral